Molecule: unclassified non-coding RNA, 290 nt
Filed under: Hevea brasiliensis (rubber tree)
Lineage: Eukaryota; Viridiplantae; Streptophyta; Magnoliopsida; Malpighiales; Euphorbiaceae
Source: RNAcentral
UAUGAACAUUCGAUCUUUGCUGUGCUGUUUCUUCCCCAUCUUUCUGUUGCUUCGUUGGGCUUAGAAAUCGAUGAUGAUUUUCAGAAAUUAGGGUUUUUAUGGCUAUCUAUAUUUGAGGAGGUCUCCAAAUCAAUUUCUGGAAAGCUAAAGCUACGACUUCUGCUAUCUGCUUAUCCUUCUUUGCCACGGGAAGAGAGGAUGAGGAAAUUGGUGGUUUUGAGAUUUUAAUGCUGGGAUGUUUGAGAGGUUUGUGACGGUGAGAACUCGCCGACAUCCGAGUUGAAUCGGCG